This 425-nucleotide long non-coding RNA is filed under the name Sinocyclocheilus grahami. RNAcentral describes it as "lncRNA (ENSSGRG00000007722.1)". Lineage: Eukaryota; Metazoa; Chordata; Actinopteri; Cypriniformes; Cyprinidae. The record is from RNAcentral.
GCGACAAUUUUGUGUUCAAAUUUCACUCUUGACAAAAGUUGUGCACACUGAUUUUUAAAAACUACAAAAGUCAUGAAUUUUGAACGAGACACUGUGGAAGAAGAUUCAGAGGCGGCAGAAGCACUUUCAGAGACUUCGGAUCCUUGACAACAUGAAAGUGAUCAGAAGAUGUAGAACCUUCAGAAGACACAACAGUUCAUAUCAAUAGUAAGGGAUGUGUUUGAACAGAAGCAGAGCUCUGGGACGUGUGGACAGACUUUCACUGUAAUGAUGGACAUCCGCUGAUGGACAGAAGUAUAACCCCUGCUGGACAUCGUGCCGGGGCUCGGGGGGGACCCGAAUCAUCCCCACUCCUUCAUUCACACAACACUCACUCAUAUCACAGAGAUCUGGCUGGGAUUGAACCAGCAACCUCUGAACCAUGA